RNAcentral lists this ribosomal RNA (1000 nucleotides) under Microbacterium sp. HBUM178211. RNAcentral's name for it is "bacterial SSU rRNA". It matches the Rfam family "Bacterial small subunit ribosomal RNA", at positions 36 to 1042 of the family's 1533-position model. Lineage: Bacteria; Bacillati; Actinomycetota; Actinomycetes; Micrococcales; Microbacteriaceae. The record is from RNAcentral.
CGGGGGGGCGUGCUUUAACACAUGCAAGUCGAACGGUGAAGCAGAGCUUGCUCUGUGGAUCAGUGGCGAACGGGUGAGUAACACGUGAGCAACCUGCCCCUGACUCUGGGAUAAGCGCUGGAAACGGCGUCUAAUACCGGAUAUGAGCUGCGAUCGCAUGGUCAGCAGUUGGAAAGAUUUUUCGGUCUGGGAUGGGCUCACGGCCUAUCAGCUUGUUGGUGAGGUAAUGGCUCACCAAGGCGUCGACGGGUAGCCGGCCUGAGAGGGUGACCGGCCACACUGGGACUGAGACACGGCCCAGACUCCUACGGGAGGCAGCAGUGGGGAAUAUUGCACAAUGGGCGAAAGCCUGAUGCAGCAACGCCGCGUGAGGGAUGACGGCCUUCGGGUUGUAAACCUCUUUUAGCAGGGAAGAAGCGAAAGUGACGGUACCUGCAGAAAAAGCGCCGGCUAACUACGUGCCAGCAGCCGCGGUAAUACGUAGGGCGCAAGCGUUAUCCGGAAUUAUUGGGCGUAAAGAGCUCGUAGGCGGUUUGUCGCGUCUGCUGUGAAAUCCCGAGGCUCAACCUCGGGUCUGCAGUGGGUACGGGCAGACUAGAGUGCGGUAGGGGAGAUUGGAAUUCCUGGUGUAGCGGUGGAAUGCGCAGAUAUCAGGAGGAACACCGAUGGCGAAGGCAGAUCUCUGGGCCGUUACUGACGCUGAGGAGCGAAAGGGUGGGGAGCAAACAGGCUUAGAUACCCUGGUAGUCCACCCCGUAAACGUUGGGAACUAGUUGUGGGGUCCAUUCCACGGAUUCCGUGACGCAGCUAACGCAUUAAGUUCCCCGCCUGGGGAGUACGGCCGCAAGGCUAAAACUCAAAGGAAUUGACGGGGACCCCGCACAAGCGGCGUAGCAUGCGGAUUAAUUCGAUGCCAACGCGAAGAACCUUACCAAGGCUUGACAUAUACGAGAACGGGCCAGAAAUUGUUCCACUCUUUGGACACUCGUAACCAGGUUGG